CCUACGGGUGGCUGCAGUGAGGAAUAUUGGACAAUGGGCGAGAGCCUGAACCAGCCAAGUCGCGUAAGGGAAGACGGUCCUAUGGAUUGUAAACCUCUUUUGUCGGGGAGCAAAAAGGCCUCGUGAGGCCACAAGUGAGAGUACCCGAAGCAAAAUCAUCGGCUAACUCCGUGCGAGCAGCCGCGGUAAUACGGAGGAUGAGAGUGUUAUCCGGAUUUAUGGGGUUUAAAGGGUGCGUAGGCGGACUGGAAAGUCAGCGGUAAAAUCGAGAGGCUCAACCUCUUUCCGACGUUGAAACUGUCGGUCUUGAGUGGGCGAGAAGUAUGCGGAAUGCGUGGUGUAGCGGUGGAAUGCAUAGAUAUCACGCGGAACUCCGAUUGCGAAGGCAGGAUACUGGCGUCCGACUGACGCUGAGGCACGAAAGCGUGGGGAUCGAACAGGAUUAGAUACCCUAGUAGUC
RNAcentral lists this ribosomal RNA (460 nucleotides) under uncultured bacterium. RNAcentral describes it as "partial 16S ribosomal RNA". It matches the Rfam family "Bacterial small subunit ribosomal RNA", at positions 338 to 795 of the family's 1533-position model. The record is from RNAcentral.